CACAACUUGUGCCCAGCGUUUGACCUAUUGGAUCCUUCCCGGAGGUGGUGUGUCUCCUCUACAGGCUCAGGAUUCCUGACCACGUCCAGUCUGUUCAGAGAGCAGGAAAUCAAGAAUGUAAAGAAAUCUUAGUGAGCAUUGCCUUUUCGAGCUCAUUUGCCUUAUGAUUGAGGCCAGGAGAUGAAUUGGGAAUGAUGAUAAUACCUCUUCUUAUUGGAGAAUGAAGAUGUCUUUGUGAGGAUGAAAAAGUUCUUCCCAGGAAGUGACGAAGCUGCUUUUUCUCCAUCACUUGCAUCUGGGCUGGUCCUUUUGACUUCUGUUGCCCAAAAGAAUAUGAUGGAAUUGAUGUCGCGAGAGCCUCAAGAGGCCUUGCAACUUUUGCUUCUUUGCAAUGCUCUGCCAUCACGUGAAGAGGCCUGGGGUAAAAGACAG
Long non-coding RNA from Zalophus californianus (California sea lion), 432 nucleotides. RefSeq lists it as uncharacterized. The record is from RefSeq and is a predicted model, not a curated record. The transcript has 4 exons. Lineage: Eukaryota; Metazoa; Chordata; Mammalia; Carnivora; Otariidae.